AGGUGAUUGUUCCUGCAUCAUCUCACUGACUGACUGACCAGUUUCUGUACUCAGCUGAUUUUCUAACUUUUCCUUUUUUUUUCAGUGUAGUCCUAUCAAAGAAGGAUACCCCAUCCUAUUUCAAAGUCAGUGAUCCAAAGUGGAAAUAUAACAAGUUUAUUCUUUACCUGUGCUCACAUUGUUCUUCAGCCUGGACAACAAACAAUACUAAUUACAUAGGAAGUAAAAAUCAACCACUUCUAAUUUACUAAAUUUGCAUUUAAUGCAAA
Molecule: long non-coding RNA, 269 nt
Organism: Melanotaenia boesemani (Boeseman's rainbowfish)
Lineage: Eukaryota; Metazoa; Chordata; Actinopteri; Atheriniformes; Melanotaeniidae
Exons: 3
Source: RefSeq, a predicted model, not a curated record